CUGUUAGAGCAAUCGAAGCAGUGAACUUAAGCCCCAGUAAACGGCGGCCGUAACUAUAACGGUCCUAAGGUAGCGAAAUUCCUUGUCGGGUAAGUUCCGACCCGCACGAAAGGCGUAACGAUUUGGGCACUGUCUCAACAACAGACUCGGUGAAAUUGUAAUUCCGGUGAAGAUGCCGGAUACCUGCGACAGGACGGAAAGACCCCAUGGAGCUUUACUGUAGCUUGACAUUGGGUCUUGGUACUACAUGUACAGGAUAGGUGGGAGGCUUUGAAACCAGGACGCCAGUUUUGGCGGAGCCAUCCUUGGGAUACCACCCUUGUAGUACUGGGACUCUAACCAUAGGCCAUGAAUCUGGUCUUGGGACACUGUCAGGUGGGCAGUUUGACUGGGGCGGUCGCCUCCCAAAAGGUAACGGAGGCGCUCAAAGGUUCUCUCAGUACGGUCGGAAAUCGUACGUAGAGUGUAAAGGCAAAAGAGAGCUUGAUUGCAAGACAUACAGGUCGAGCAAGGAUGAAAAUCGGACUUAGUGAUCCGGUGGUUCUGCGUGGAAGGGCCAUCGCUCAACGGAUAAAAGCUACCCUGGGGAUAACAGGCUUAUCUCCCCCAAGAGUCCACAUCGACGGGGAGGUUUGGCACCUCGAUGUCGGCUCAUCACAUCCUGGGGCUGUAGUAGGUCCCAAGGGUUGGGCUGUUCGCCCAUUAAAGUGGUACGCGAGCUGGGUUCAGAACGUCGUGAGACAGUUCGGUCCCUAUCCGUCGCAGGCGUAGGAAAUUUGAGAAGACCUGUCCUUAGUACGAGAGGACCGGGAUGGACGUACCUCUGGUGUACCAGUUGUCCUGCCAAGGGCAUGGCUGGGUAGCUAUGUACGGAAUGGAUAAGCGCUGAAAGCAUCUAAGCGCGAAGCCAACUUCAAGAUAAGAUUUCCCACCGCAAGGGUAAGACCCCAGAAAGACUAUCUGGUUGAUAGGUCGAAGGUGUAAGUGCAGCAAUGUAUUUAGCUUAUCGAUACUAAUAGGUCGAGGACUUGACCAA
This 1036-nucleotide ribosomal RNA is filed under the name Clostridioides difficile. Its description in RNAcentral is "bacterial LSU rRNA". It matches the Rfam family "Bacterial large subunit ribosomal RNA", at positions 1887 to 2925 of the family's 2925-position model. Lineage: Bacteria; Bacillati; Bacillota; Clostridia; Peptostreptococcales; Peptostreptococcaceae. The record is from RNAcentral.